GAAAAAGAUGCUGAAAAAGAUGCUGAAAAAGAUGCCGUUCCUGCCUUACCCAAACUCAACAACAACCAAACAGCGGAGAACACAACCAAGCCUGUUAAAGACCAGCCUCGACUGCUCAGGAGGCGACUGAUCUGACGGGAUCAGGAUCGCGGAUCUCGGAAGUUGCUGUCGUUCGGUAGUGGUGCGCUUGUCUAACGCACUCAGGGUUUGAACCCCCACUACUACUAAAACCAAUAAGAUAAAGUAGUUUAGUCUCUUG
RNAcentral lists this long non-coding RNA (259 nucleotides) under Rattus norvegicus (Norway rat). Its description in RNAcentral is "long non-coding RNA NONRATT013447". Lineage: Eukaryota; Metazoa; Chordata; Mammalia; Rodentia; Muridae. The record is from RNAcentral.